This is a long non-coding RNA of Ictidomys tridecemlineatus (thirteen-lined ground squirrel), 322 nucleotides long. RefSeq lists it as uncharacterized. The record is from RefSeq and is a predicted model, not a curated record. NCBI's taxonomy places the organism in Eukaryota, Metazoa, Chordata, Mammalia, Rodentia, Sciuridae.
UUUCUUUUCCUGAUAGAAGCCUGUUGCGUUGACGACACUGAGAGCAGGCCAUGCAAAACCAAGAGGGAGAAAGAAUGAGGCAAUGAAGGAAAGAGUCUCUGCAUUGCAGGGAAGCAGCAGGGGAGAGGAAGGUGAUAGAACAGACCAUUUCUUCUGGGAAACUGAUGGGGAGCCCAACUGAUGGCACCGCGGAAGCCCUGGGCCUUUUUUGCUAACACCAGGGAGCCAAGAUUCUGAGGCUUCUCUCAAGACACGGCAUUUCCAACUCAGAAACCACUGGAAAUGUGAGGGAUUCACGAUAAAGCCAAACCAUUCACUAUUA